This 301-nucleotide ribosomal RNA is filed under the name uncultured bacterium. RNAcentral's name for it is "partial 16S ribosomal RNA". It matches the Rfam family "Bacterial small subunit ribosomal RNA", at positions 509 to 809 of the family's 1533-position model. The record is from RNAcentral.
CAGUAGCCGCGGUAAUACGAAGGGGGCUAGCGUUGUUCGGAAUUACUGGGCGUAAAGCGCACGUAGGCGGAUAUUUAAGUCAGGGGUGAAAUCCCGGGGCUCAACCCCGGAACUGCCACUGAUACUGGGUGUCUAGAGUUCGGAAGAGGUAAGUGGAAUUGCGAGUGUAGAGGUGAAAUUCGUAGGUAUUCGCAGGAACACCAGUGGCGAAGGCGACUUACUGGUCCGAUACUGACGCUGAGGCGCGAAAGCUAGGGGAGCGAACGGGAUUAGAUACCCGGGUAGUCCCUGUCUCUUAUAA